UCGUAACAAGGUCUCCGUUGGUGAACCAGCGGAGGGAUCAUUACCGAGUUUACAACUCCCAAACCCAAUGUGAACCAUACCAAACUGUUGCCUCGGCGGGGUCACGCCCCGGGUGCGUCGCAGCCCCGGAACCAGGCGCCCGCCGGAGGGACCAACCAAACUCUUUCUGUAGUCCCCUCGCGGACGUUAUUUUUACAGCUCUGAGCAAAAAUUCAAAAUGAAUCAAAACUUUCAACAACGGAUCUCUUGGUUCUGGCAUCGAUGAAGAACGCAGCGAAAUGCGAUAAGUAAUGUGAAUUGCAGAAUUCAGUGAAUCAUCGAAUCUUUGAACGCACAUUGCGCCCGCCAGUAUUCUGGCGGGCAUGCCUGUCCGAGCGUCAUUUCAACCCUCGAACCCCUCCGGGGGUCCGGCGUUGGGGAUCGGGAACCCCUAAGACGGGAUCCCGGCCCCGAAAUACAGUGGCGGUCUCGCCGCAGCCUCUCAUGCGCAGUAGUUUGCACAACUCGCACCGGGAGCGCGGCGCGUCCACGUCCGUAAAACACCCAACUUCUGAAAUGUUGACCUCGGAUCAGGUAGGAAUACCCGCUGAACCUAAGCAUAUC
This 603-nucleotide unclassified non-coding RNA is filed under the name Trichoderma viridarium. Its description in RNAcentral is "sequence contains 18S rRNA gene, ITS1, 5.8S rRNA gene, ITS2, 28S rRNA gene". The stretch from base 227 to 380 matches the Rfam family "5.8S ribosomal RNA". The record is from RNAcentral. Lineage: Eukaryota; Fungi; Ascomycota; Sordariomycetes; Hypocreales; Hypocreaceae.